RNAcentral lists this unclassified non-coding RNA (271 nucleotides) under uncultured fungus. Its description in RNAcentral is "partial contains 5.8S ribosomal RNA, internal transcribed spacer 2, and large subunit ribosomal RNA". The stretch from base 1 to 52 matches the Rfam family "5.8S ribosomal RNA", at positions 103 to 154 of the family's 154-position model. The record is from RNAcentral. Lineage: Eukaryota; Fungi.
AACGCACAUUGCGCCCGCCAGUAUUCUGGCGGGCAUGCCUGUUCGAGCGUCAUUUCAACCCUCAAGCCCCCCCGGGGGCUCGGUGUUGGGGGACGGCCCGGCCCUCGCGGCCUGCCGCCCCCGAAAUGCAGUGGCGACCCCGCCGCAGCCUCCCCUGCGUAGUAGCUAUACAAUUGGAAACCUCGCACCGGAGAGCGGCGCUGCUCAGCCGUGAAACCCCAACUUCUGAAAGGUUGACCUCGGAUCAGGUAGGACUACCCGCUGAACUUAA